UUUCCGGUUGAUCCUGCCGGAGGCCACUGCUAUUGGGGUCCGACUAAGCCAUGCGAGCGGAGGGCACUCGGUGGACAACCACCGGGAGACCCCGCGUACGGCUCAGUAACACGUCGUCAACCUACCCUAGGGUCCGGGAUAACCUGGGGAAACUCAGGAUAAUCCCGGAUGGGCGAAGGGCGCUGGAAUGCCCCUUCGCCGAAGGCUCCGGCGCCCUAGGAUGGGACGGCGGCCUAUCAGGUAGUUGGUGGUGUAACGGACCACCAAGCUACGACGGGUACGGGCUUUGAGAGAAGGAGCCCGGAGAUGGGGACUAAGACAAGGCCCCAGGCCCUACGGGGCGCAGCAGGCGCGAAAACUCCGCAAUGCCCGAAAGGGUGACGGGGGGACCCCAAGUGUCCCUGGCCUUCGGGUCGGGGACUUUUCGGGAGUGUAAGGAGCUCCCGGAAUAAGGGCUGGUAAGUCCGGUGCCAGCCGCCGCGGUAAUACCGGCAGCCGAGUGGUGGUCGCGAUUAUUGGGCCUAAAGCGCUCGUAGCCGGGCCGGUAAGUCCCCUGUGAAAUCGGGCGGCCCAACCGUUCGGCUUGCAGGGGAUACUGCUGGCCUUGGGGCCGGGAGACGCCGAGGGUACUCCGGGGGUAGCGGUGAAAUGCUGUAAUCCUCGGAGGACCACCGGUGGCGAAGGCGCUCGGCGAGAACGGGCCCGACGGUGAGGGGCGGAAGCUGGGGGCGCGAACGGGAUUAGAUACCCCGGUAGUCCCAGCCGUAAAGGGUGCGGGCCAGGUGUUCGGCGUCCCUCGAGGGUGCCGUGUGCCGGAGGGAAGCCGUUAAGCCCGCCGCCUGGGAAGUACGGUCGCAAGGCUGAAACUUAAAGAAAUUGGCGGGGAGCACCACAAGGGGUGGAGCCUGCGGUUCAAUUGGAUUCAACGCCGGGAAGGGC
This 939-nucleotide ribosomal RNA is filed under the name uncultured archaeon. Its description in RNAcentral is "bacterial SSU rRNA". It matches the Rfam family "Archaeal small subunit ribosomal RNA", at positions 1 to 928 of the family's 1478-position model. The record is from RNAcentral.